Molecule: ribosomal RNA, 50 nt
Filed under: Fusicladium ramoconidii
Lineage: Eukaryota; Fungi; Ascomycota; Dothideomycetes; Venturiales; Sympoventuriaceae
Description: partial 26S ribosomal RNA
Source: RNAcentral
GUUGGCCUCGGAUCAGGCGGGAUACCCGCUGAACUUAAGCAUAUCAAUAA